GGGUCAGUAGGUUGGUCGUGCCACCGGUACGUACUGGUCUCACUGAUUCCUCCUUCCUGAAGAACCGUAAUGCCAUUAAUUUGGUGUUGCGGGGAAACAGGACUGUUACUUUGAAAAAAUUAGAGUGUUUAAGGCAAGCUAACGCUUGAAUACAUUAGCAUGGAAUAAUGAAAUAGGACGAUCGAUCCUAUUUUGCUGGUUUCUAGGAUUGACGUA
Molecule: ribosomal RNA, 216 nt
Filed under: Glomeromycotina sp.
Lineage: Eukaryota; Fungi; Glomeromycota
Description: partial small subunit ribosomal RNA
Rfam family: Eukaryotic small subunit ribosomal RNA (bases 40-216)
Source: RNAcentral